UAUGCGAUACUUGGUGUGAAUUGCAGAAUCCCGUGAACCAUCGAGUCUUUGAACGCAAGUUGCGCCCGAAGCCAUUAGGUCGAGGGCACGCCUGCCUGGGCGUCACGC
RNAcentral lists this ribosomal RNA (108 nucleotides) under Lesia savannarum. Its description in RNAcentral is "partial 5.8S ribosomal RNA". It matches the Rfam family "5.8S ribosomal RNA", at positions 52 to 154 of the family's 154-position model. From Rfam's summary of the family: 5.8S ribosomal RNA (5.8S rRNA) is a component of the large subunit of the eukaryotic ribosome. It is transcribed by RNA polymerase I as part of the 45S precursor that also contains 18S and 28S rRNA. The record is from RNAcentral. Lineage: Eukaryota; Viridiplantae; Streptophyta; Magnoliopsida; Lamiales; Gesneriaceae.